RNAcentral lists this transfer RNA (83 nucleotides) under Epipogium aphyllum. RNAcentral's name for it is "tRNA-Tyr". It matches the Rfam family "tRNA". From Rfam's summary of the family: Transfer RNA (tRNA) molecules are approximately 80 nucleotides in length. Their secondary structure includes four short double-helical elements and three loops (D, anti-codon, and T loops). Further hydrogen bonds mediate the characteristic L-shaped molecular structure. tRNAs have two regions of fundamental functional importance: the anti-codon, which is responsible for specific mRNA codon recognition, and the 3' end, to which the tRNAs corresponding amino acid is attached (by aminoacyl-tRNA synthetases). tRNAs cope with the degeneracy of the genetic code in two manners: having more than one tRNA (with a specific anti-codon) for a particular amino acid; and 'wobble' base-pairing, i.e. permitting non-standard base-pairing at the 3rd anti-codon position. Lineage: Eukaryota; Viridiplantae; Streptophyta; Magnoliopsida; Asparagales; Orchidaceae. The record is from RNAcentral.
GGGUUGAUUUCCGAGUGGUUAAAGGUGACGUAUUGUAAAUUCGUUGACAUGUGUCUUCGUUGGUUCAAAUCCAGCUCAACCCA